This 79-nucleotide transfer RNA is filed under the name Candidatus Nitrosotenuis uzonensis. RNAcentral describes it as "tRNA-Glu". It matches the Rfam family "tRNA". Rfam says of the family: Transfer RNA (tRNA) molecules are approximately 80 nucleotides in length. Their secondary structure includes four short double-helical elements and three loops (D, anti-codon, and T loops). Lineage: Archaea; Thermoproteati; Nitrososphaerota. The record is from RNAcentral.
GCUCCUGUGGUGUAGUCCGGUCAAGCAUGUCGCCCUUUCAAGGCGGAGAUCCCGGGUCCAAAUCCCGGCGGGAGCACCU